Non-coding RNA from Pangasius djambal, 74 nucleotides. The record is from the annotation of a GenBank genome assembly. Lineage: Eukaryota; Metazoa; Chordata; Actinopteri; Siluriformes; Pangasiidae.
GCAGCGGUGGCUCAAUGGUUAAAAAGCUCUGGGUUACUGAUCAGGAGGUUGGGGGUUCAAGCCCCACCACAGCA